AGCGGCUCUGGCGCGGUGGUGGUGCGGUUGACGCUGGUGCCGUCGGUGUCGGUCAGCGUCACGGUGUUGAGGCCGUUCCAACUGCGGCUGUAA
RNAcentral lists this transfer RNA (93 nucleotides) under Novosphingobium pokkalii. Its description in RNAcentral is "tRNA-Thr". The record is from RNAcentral. Lineage: Bacteria; Pseudomonadati; Pseudomonadota; Alphaproteobacteria; Sphingomonadales; Sphingomonadaceae.